This 587-nucleotide ribosomal RNA is filed under the name uncultured bacterium. RNAcentral's name for it is "bacterial SSU rRNA". It matches the Rfam family "Bacterial small subunit ribosomal RNA", at positions 339 to 917 of the family's 1533-position model. The record is from RNAcentral.
CUACGGGAGGCAGCAGUGGGGAAUCUUGGGCAAUGGGGGAAACCCUGACCCAGCGACGCCGUGUGGGGGAUGAAGGCUUUCGGGUUGUAAACCCCUGUUAGGUGGGACGAAUGCUCUCUCAUAAAUAGUGAGAGGGUUUGACGGUACCACCAGAGAAAGCCCCGGCUAACUCCGUGCCCGCAGCCGCGGUAAUACGGAGGGGGCGAGUGUUGUUCGGAAUUACUGGGCGUAAAGGGCGCGCAGGCGGCUUGGCAAGUCGAGUGUGAAAUCCCUCAGCUUAACUGAGGAAUUGCGCUUGAAACUAUCUCGCUAGAGGACGGGAGAGGGAAGUGGAACUCUCGGUGUAGGGGUGAAAUCUGUAGAUAUCGAGAGGAACACCGGUGGCGAAGGCGGCUUCCUGGCCCGUAUCUGACGCUGAGGCGCGAAAGCGUGGGGAGCAAACAGGAUUAGAUACCCUGGUAGUCCACGCCCUAAACGAUGGGCACUAGGUGUGGGCGGUGUCGACUCCUUCCGUGCCGAAGCUAACGCAUUAAGCACCCCGCCUGGGGAGUACGGCCGCAAGGCUAAAACUCAAAGGAAUUGACGGA